AUUGAACGCUGGCGGCAGGCCUAACACAUGCCAGUCGAGCGGAUGAAGGGAGCUUGCUCCUGGAUUCAGCGGCGGACGGGUGAGUAAUGCCUAGGAAUCUGCCUGGUAGUGGGGGAUAACGUCCGGAAACGGGCGCUAAUACCGCAUACGUCCUGAGGGAGAAAGUGGGGGAUCUUCGGACCUCACGCUAUCAGAUGAGCCUAGGUCGGAUUAGCUAGUUGGUGGGGUAAAGGCCUACCAAGGCGACGAUCCGUAACUGGUCUGAGAGGAUGAUCAGUCACAAUGGAAAUGAGAAAAGGUUCAGACUCCUAAGGGAGGCAGCAGUGGGGAAUUUUGGACAAUGGGCGGAAGCCUGAUCCAGGCAUGGCGCGUGGGUGAAGAAGGUCUUCCGAUUGUAAAAGCCUUUUAGUUGGGAGGAAGGGCAGUAAGUUAAUACCUUGCUGUUUUGACGUUACCAACAGAAUAAGCACCGGCUAACUUCGUG
RNAcentral lists this ribosomal RNA (484 nucleotides) under uncultured bacterium. RNAcentral's name for it is "partial 16S ribosomal RNA". It matches the Rfam family "Bacterial small subunit ribosomal RNA", at positions 30 to 507 of the family's 1533-position model. The record is from RNAcentral.